Molecule: ribosomal RNA, 699 nt
Filed under: uncultured archaeon
Lineage: Archaea
Description: bacterial SSU rRNA
Rfam family: Archaeal small subunit ribosomal RNA
Source: RNAcentral
UCGGUUGAUCCUGCCGGAGGUUACUGCUAUCGGAGUUCGAUUAAGCCAUGCGAGUCUAAAGGUUUCUUCGGAAACCUUGGCGGACUGCUCAGUAACACGUGGAUAACCUACCCUUGGGACUGGAAUAACCCCGGGAAACUGGGGAUAAUACCGGAUAGAUCAGGGAUGCUGGAAUGCACCUUGAUCCAAAGCUCCGGCGCCCAAGGAUGGGUCUGCGGCCUAUCAGGUAGUAGUGGGUGUAACGUACCUACUAGCCAACGACGGGUACGGGUUGUGAGAGCAAGAGCCCGGAGAUGGAUUCUGAGACACGAAUCCAGGCCCUACGGGGUGCAGCAGGCGCGAAACCUUUACAAUGUGCGAAAGCAUGAUAAGGGAACUCCGAGUGCCAGCAUCUAAUGUUGGCUGUCCUUGUGCCUAAAACGCACAAGAUAGCAAGGGCCGGGUAAGACCGGUGCCAGCCGCCGCGGUAACACCGGCGGCCCGAGUGGUAGCCGCUAUUAUUGGGUCUAAAGGGUCCGUAGCCGGUUCGAUAAGUCCUCUGGGAAAUCUUGUUGCUUAACAAUCANACUGCCAAGGGAUACUGUCGAACUUGAGACCGGGAGAGGUAAGAGGUACUUCAGGGGUANNAGUGAAAUCUUGUAAUCCCUGGGGACCAUCUGUGGCNAANGCNUCUUACCAGAACGGNUCUGACGGUNAGGG